This 429-nucleotide ribosomal RNA is filed under the name Actinomycetes bacterium. RNAcentral's name for it is "Actinobacteria bacterium partial 16S ribosomal RNA". It matches the Rfam family "Bacterial small subunit ribosomal RNA", at positions 355 to 776 of the family's 1533-position model. The record is from RNAcentral. Lineage: Bacteria; Bacillati; Actinomycetota; Actinomycetes.
UAGGGAAUCUUCCGCAAUGGGCGAAAGCGUGACGGAGCAACGCCGCGUGAGUGAUGAAGGUCAUCGGAUCGUAAAACUCUGUUAUUAGGGAAGAACAAAUGUGUAAGUAACUAUGCACGUCUUGACGGUACCUAAUCAGAAAGCCACGGCUAACUACGUGCCAGCAGCCGCGGUAAUACGUAGGUGGCAAGCGUUAUCCGGAAUUAUUGGGCGUAAAGCGCGCGUAGGCGGUUUUUUAAGUCUGAUGUGAAAGCCCACGGCUCAACCGUGCAGGGUCAUUGGAAACGUGAAAACUUGAGUGCAGAAGAGGAAAGUGGAAUUCCAUGUGUAGCGGUGAAAUGCGCAGAGAUAUGGAGGAACACCAGUGGCGAAGGCGACUUUCUGGUCUGUAACUGACGCUGAUGUGCGAAAGCGUCUGGAUCAAACAGG